AGAGACAGCAGUCGCCACGGGAAAACGUAGGUGGCAAGCGUUGUCCGGAAUUAUUGGGCGUAAAGCGCGCGCAGGCGGAUCAGUUAGUCUGUCUUAAAAGUUCGGGGCUUAACCCCGUGAGGGGAUGGAAACUGCUGAUCUAGAGUAUCGGAGAGGAAAGUGGAAUUCCUAGUGUAGCGGUGAAAUGCGUAGAUAUUAGGAAGAACACCAGUGGCGAAGGCGACUUUCUGGACGAAAACUGACGCUGAGGCGCGAAAGCCAGGGGAGCGAACGGGAUUAGAUACCCCCGUAGUCCCUGUCUCUUAUACA
Molecule: ribosomal RNA, 309 nt
Filed under: uncultured bacterium
Lineage: Bacteria
Description: partial 16S ribosomal RNA
Rfam family: Bacterial small subunit ribosomal RNA
Source: RNAcentral